CUACGGGGUGCACCAGUGGGGAAUAUUACACAAUGGGCGCAAGCCUGAUGCAGCCAUGCCGCGUGUAUGAAGAAGGCCUUCGGGUUGUAAAGUACUUUCAGCGGGGAGGAAGGGAGUAAAGUUAAUACCUUUGCUCAUUGACGUUACCCGCAGAAGAAGCACCGGCUAACUCCGUGCCAGCAGCCGCGGUAAUACGGAGGGUGCAAGCGUUAAUCGGAAUUACUGGGCGUAAAGCGCACGCAGGCGGUUUGUUAAGUCAGAUGUGAAAUCCCCGGGCUCAACCUGGGAACUGCAUCUGAUACUGGCAGGCUUGAGUCUCGUAGAGGGGGGUAGAAUUGCAGGUGUAGCGGUGAUAUGCGUAGAGAUCUGGAGGAAUACCGGUGGCGAAGGCGGCCCCCUGGACGAAGACUGACGCUCAGGUGCGAAAGCGUGGGGAGCAAACAGGAUUAGAUACCCGCGUAGUC
Molecule: ribosomal RNA, 464 nt
Filed under: uncultured bacterium
Lineage: Bacteria
Description: partial 16S ribosomal RNA
Rfam family: Bacterial small subunit ribosomal RNA
Source: RNAcentral